GGUUAAGCGACUAAGCGUACACGGUGGAUGCCCUGGCAGUCAGAGGCGAUGAAGGACGUGCUAAUCUGCGAUAAGCGUCGGUAAGGUGAUAUGAACCGUUAUAACCGGCGAUUUCCGAAUGGGGAAACCCAGUGUGUUUCGACACACUAUCAUUAACUGAAUCCAUAGGUUAAUGAGGCGAACCGGGGGAACUGAAACAUCUAAGUACCCCGAGGAAAAGAAAUCAACCGAGAUUCCCCCAGUAGCGGCGAGCGAACGGGGAGCAGCCCAGAGCCUGAAUCAGUGUGUGUGUUAGUGGAAGCGUCUGGAAAGGCGCGCGAUACAGGGUGACAGCCCCGUACACAAAAAUGCACAUGCUGUGAGCUCGAUGAGUAGGGCGGGACACGUGGUAUCCUGUCUGAAUAUGGGGGGACCAUCCUCCAAGGCUAAAUACUCCUGACUGACCGAUAGUGAACCAGUACCGUGAGGGAAAGGCGAAAAGAACCCCGGCGAGGGGAGUGAAAAAGAACCUGAAACCGUGUACGUACAAGCAGUGGGAGCCUCUUUUAUGGGGUGACUGCGUACCUUUUGUAUAAUGGGUCAGCGACUUAUAUUCUGUAGCAAGGUUAACCGAAUAGGGGAGCCGAAGGGAAACCGAGUCUUAACUGGGCGUUAAGUUGCAGGGUAUAGACCCGAAACCCGGUGAUCUAGCCAUGGGCAGGUUGAAGGUUGGGUAACACUAACUGGAGGACCGAACCGACUAAUGUUGAAAAAUUAGCGGAUGACUUGUGGCUGGGGGUGAAAGGCCAAUCAAACCGGGAGAUAGCUGGUUCUCCCCGAAAGCUAUUUAGGUAGCGCCUCGUGAAUUCAUCUCCGGGGGUAGAGCACUGUUUCGGCAAGGGGGUCAUCCCGACUUACCAACCCGAUGCAAACUGCGAAUACCGGAGAAUGUUAUCACGGGAGACACACGGCGGGUGCUAACGUCCGUCGUGAAGAGGGAAACAACCCAGACCGCCAGCUAAGGUCCCAAAGUCAUGGUUAAGUGGGAAACGAUGUGGGAAGGCCCAGACAGCCAGGAUGUUGGCUUAGAAGCAGCCAUCAUUUAAAGAAAGCGUAAUAGCUCACUGGUCGAGUCGGCCUGCGCGGAAGAUGUAACGGGGCUAAACCAUGCACCGAAGCUGCGGCAGCGACACUAUGUGUUGUUGGGUAGGGGAGCGUUCUGUAAGCCUGUGAAGGUGUACUGUGAGGUAUGCUGGAGGUAUCAGAAGUGCGAAUGCUGACAUAAGUAACGAUAAAGCGGGUGAAAAGCCCGCUCGCCGGAAGACCAAGGGUUCCUGUCCAACGUUAAUCGGGGCAGGGUGAGUCGACCCCUAAGGCGAGGCCGAAAGGCGUAGUCGAUGGGAAACAGGUUAAUAUUCCUGUACUUGGUGUUACUGCGAAGGGGGGACGGAGAAGGCUAUGUUGGCCGGGCGACGGUUGUCCCGGUUUAAGCGUGUAGGCUGGUUUUCCAGGCAAAUCCGGAAAAUCAAGGCUGAGGCGUGAUGACGAGGCACUACGGUGCUGAAGCAACAAAUGCCCUGCUUCCAGGAAAAGCCUCUAAGCAUCAGGUAACAUCAAAUCGUACCCCAAACCGACACAGGUGGUCAGGUAGAGAAUACCAAGGCGCUUGAGAGAACUCGGGUGAAGGAACUAGGCAAAAUGGUGCCGUAACUUCGGGAGAAGGCACGCUGAUAUGUAGGUGAAGUCCCUCGCGGAUGGAGCUGAAAUCAGUCGAAGAUACCAGCUGGCUGCAACUGUUUAUUAAAAACACAGCACUGUGCAAACACGAAAGUGGACGUAUACGGUGUGACGCCUGCCCGGUGCCGGAAGGUUAAUUGAUGGGGUCAGCGCAAGCGAAGCUCUUGAUCGAAGCCCCGGUAAACGGCGGCCGUAACUAUAACGGUCCUAAGGUAGCGAAAUUCCUUGUCGGGUAAGUUCCGACCUGCACGAAUGGCGUAAUGAUGGCCAGGCUGUCUCCACCCGAGACUCAGUGAAAUUGAACUCGCUGUGAAGAUGCAGUGUACCCGCGGCAAGACGGAAAGACCCCGUGAACCUUUACUAUAGCUUGACACUGAACAUUGAGCCUUGAUGUGUAGGAUAGGUGGGAGGCUUGGAAGUGUGGACGCCAGUCUGCAUGGAGCCGACCUUGAAAUACCACCCUUUAAUGUUUGAUGUUCUAACGUUGACCCGUAAUCCGGGUUGCGGACAGUGUCUGGUGGGUAGUUUGACUGGGGCGGUCUCCUCCUAAAGAGUAACGGAGGAGCACGAAGGUUGGCUAAUCCUGGUCGGACAUCAGGAGGUUAGUGCAAUGGCAUAAGCCAGCUUGACUGCGAGCGUGACGGCGCGAGCAGGUGCGAAAGCAGGUCAUAGUGAUCCGGUGGUUCUGAAUGGAAGGGCCAUCGCUCAACGGAUAAAAGGUACUCCGGGGAUAACAGGCUGAUACCGCCCAAGAGUUCAUAUCGACGGCGGUGUUUGGCACCUCGAUGUCGGCUCAUCACAUCCUGGGGCUGAAGUAGGUCCCAAGGGUAUGGCUGUUCGCCAUUUAAAGUGGUACGCGAGCUGGGUUUAGAACGUCGUGAGACAGUUCGGUCCCUAUCUGCCGUGGGCGCUGGAGAACUGAGGGGGGCUGCUCCUAGUACGAGAGGACCGGAGUGGACGCAUCACUGGUGUUCGGGUUGUCAUGCCAAUGGCACUGCCCGGUAGCUAAAUGCGGAAGAGAUAAGUGCUGAAAGCAUCUAAGCACGAAACUUGCCCCGAGAUGAGUUCUCCCUGACCCUUUAAGGGUCCUGAAGGAACGUUGAAGACGACGACGUUGAUAGGCCGGGUGUGUAAGCGCAGCGAUGCGUUGAGCUAACCGGUACUAAUGAACCGUGAGGCUUAACCUU
Molecule: ribosomal RNA, 2903 nt
Filed under: Escherichia coli
Lineage: Bacteria; Pseudomonadati; Pseudomonadota; Gammaproteobacteria; Enterobacterales; Enterobacteriaceae
Description: 23S ribosomal RNA
Rfam family: Bacterial large subunit ribosomal RNA
Source: RNAcentral